CUUAAACUAAUAUAUACAAAAUAUUAUAUUUAUGUGUAUAUUAUUAUAUAUUAAAUAAAUAUAUUCUAUAAAUUUUUAAAUUAAAGUAAUUUUAAAAUAUAUAAAAGAUUUACUUAUCGUUUAUAGACGGGCUUACAAAAGGAUUUAGAUAGUUGGUAAGGUAAUAGCUUACCAAGUCGAUUAUCCUUAGCUGGUUUGGGAGAAUGAUCAGCCACAUUGGGUCUGAAACAACACCCAACUAUCGAAGUGAUGGCAGCAGUGGGGAAUCUUGGACAAUAUGCUAACGCAUGAUCCAGCAAUAUCAAAGAAAUGAAGAAGAUUCAGGAGAUCGUAAAGUUUUUCACAAUAAGGGAACAAAUUAAUACAUUGAUUAACUGACAUUUACUUUUAUUGUUAAGCUCCGACUAACUUCGUGCCAGCAGUCG
Molecule: ribosomal RNA, 425 nt
Filed under: uncultured bacterium
Lineage: Bacteria
Description: bacterial SSU rRNA
Rfam family: Bacterial small subunit ribosomal RNA
Source: RNAcentral